This 76-nucleotide transfer RNA is filed under the name Pasteurella multocida. RNAcentral's name for it is "tRNA-Ala". It matches the Rfam family "tRNA". From Rfam's summary of the family: Transfer RNA (tRNA) molecules are approximately 80 nucleotides in length. Their secondary structure includes four short double-helical elements and three loops (D, anti-codon, and T loops). Lineage: Bacteria; Pseudomonadati; Pseudomonadota; Gammaproteobacteria; Pasteurellales; Pasteurellaceae. The record is from RNAcentral.
GGGGAUAUAGCUCAGCUGGGAGAGGCCCUGCCUUGCACGCAGGAGGUCAGCGGUUCGAUCCCGCUUAUCUCCACCA